Molecule: transfer RNA, 66 nt
Filed under: Achatinella mustelina
Lineage: Eukaryota; Metazoa; Mollusca; Gastropoda; Stylommatophora; Achatinellidae
Description: tRNA-Ile
Source: RNAcentral
UAGCAGCCGCCGGAAGUACGGGUAUUAUUGAUGUUAAUAUAUUUGAAAAAAUUUUUUCGUUGCUAU